Molecule: non-coding RNA, 45 nt
Organism: Schistosoma haematobium
Lineage: Eukaryota; Metazoa; Platyhelminthes; Trematoda; Strigeidida; Schistosomatidae
Source: Rfam
AUACAGUUGACGAGCCCCACAUGGGAUGAAACGCGCGUCCUGCAU